This 274-nucleotide long non-coding RNA is filed under the name Setaria viridis. RNAcentral's name for it is "long non-coding RNA (SVIR_LNC011379)". Lineage: Eukaryota; Viridiplantae; Streptophyta; Magnoliopsida; Poales; Poaceae. The record is from RNAcentral.
UAUGAUGCGCCGACGGUUCAAGCUCACGCACCAUCUAUCGAUGAUCUGAUGAUGAUAUAACGUAUGGUUAACGGUGUCCAGUAAUUUCGCAGUUAGGGAACAACUAUAGGUGCCACAGACUGAUAAUCAAAUUUCAAACAAGUACUAUAACAUGUUGGUGAUUCAAAUUUUGAGAAUCUGAGCAUCACUAUACCAUGACACGUGCAGUCUCUUUCUCUCCCUCCCUCUCUCCCCUCCCUUUCCCCCACGUGAACUGAUUCUGAGGCUGGGCCCG